AAAACAUGCCGUCGAUCUACCGAGCAAUAUCACCCGCUCGGUCGAAAAAUCUUACCUUUGUCAU
Molecule: microRNA precursor, 64 nt
Filed under: Bombyx mori (domestic silkworm)
Lineage: Eukaryota; Metazoa; Arthropoda; Insecta; Lepidoptera; Bombycidae
Description: mir-2774 microRNA precursor family
Rfam family: mir-2774 microRNA precursor family
Source: Rfam by way of RNAcentral